GAUAUCAAAGCUCCGGCGGUACAGGAUGGACCCGCGUCUGAUUAGCUAGUUGGUGAGGUAAUGGCUCACCAAGGCGACGAUCAGUAGCCGACCUGAGAGGGUGAUCGGCCACACUGGAACUGAGACACGGUCCAGACUCCUACGGGAGGCAGCAGUGGGGAAUAUUGCACAAGGGGCGAAAGCCUGAUGCAGCAACGCCGCGGAGCUUAAAGAGGCCUUCGGGUCGUAAAGCUCUGUCCUCAAGGAAGAUAAUGA
This 255-nucleotide ribosomal RNA is filed under the name uncultured bacterium. RNAcentral describes it as "partial 16S ribosomal RNA". It matches the Rfam family "Bacterial small subunit ribosomal RNA", at positions 197 to 454 of the family's 1533-position model. The record is from RNAcentral.